GGGUAGCAAAGCACACAUACCACUUGAAACAGUUAUGGCUUCCCUGAAAGAAUCCUGGGAAACUGUCAUCUGUUAAGGGUGCUGAGAGUCAUUAGGAGACCCCUCUUCUCCUCUGAGAGGAAAAAGGGAUUUCCUAACAAAUCUCUGCUUGGUAUAGAAUCAUAGGAUUGUAGAGUUGGAAGGGACCCUUAGGAUCAUCUUGUCCAACUCCCUGCAAUGCAAGAAUAUGCAGCUGUUUCAUAUGGGGAUCGAACCUGUAACCUUGGCAUUAUCAUCACCAUGCUCUAACCAGCUGAGCUAUCCAGGUAAGAUAUUGCUUUAAAUGGAAAGUGCCUCCCACCACUCCUCCUCCAGCCAGUCCCUGACAGCUAAUUUGACCCCCAUCCAUCCACACAAAUAAACAAAACAAAACUAGGCCCAUAACCUGUUGCAGAAUAGGUUUUUAACUCACCACACUGAAGACAGAUACGAUCAGAACCUUUAAACUGUAUAUUUGACUUAACAUCAUCAGCCAUUUCUGGAUACAGCAGGAGCAAGCAAGAAAGUGCAAGAGAAAGUAAACGGAGGACUCAGGAAGGCAACUUUCUGUUCCUAGAUACAUUAACCACUUCAUGGUUCAUUUUAUCUCAGUACAGUGGGUAUUAAUUAAAAGCUGUUUCUUAUUCCAAGACAUUUCAGGUUUUAUGAAUGGGCAGCUGCAUGUUUGAAGAACCCUCUGUGGAUAAAUCUCCUUGCACACAAAGAACUACCACAGGGAGAAAACCCAACUACCAUGAAAAGUUACAUGGAAUUUGUAUAGAGUGAUUUAGUUGCAUCAUUGGUUCCUGAACCUAAAUUGUACUUUCCACUGUUCACUCAUGCUUUACACAUUAGAAUUAUGCUUCUUGGUGCAUGGCCGCCACCAUGUUUUUCCAACAACAUUGCUCACAGAAAUUUAAAUUUGCCCCCAUGCCUUCUGGAAGCUUCUGAGAAUGCUUAGAUCAGUUGUAUCUAAAACUUGAUUCUAAACAUAUUUGCUAAAUGCAGUCUGAAGCAGUUCUGAGCCAGACCAGAUUCAUCAUAAUUAUCUCGGAGUAAGUGUGCUUAAGAUCUUGCAGGCGAAAAUGAAGUGCUAAAGUUGGUUUUUCCUCUUAUAAUUGUGUGGCAUAGCAGCAAACUACUGCAGUAAUACUGCAUAAGCCUGCAGCUGAAGUUGGAAUUUCACAGGGAGCAUUUUUUGGUGCUGUUAAAUGGCACCUUCAUAUUCAAAAAAUAAUAUUUCCAAUAAUUGGAGGAGGCAGAUUGCAAAUACUGAUUUUAAUGAUAAUUUCAGUGCUUAGGCUAUCUGCCCAGCAGACAUCAUUUCAUAGCAGACAUUAUCAAGAAUAUUUAAGACUAGCAUUAAAUAACUCACAGGGUGUCCAGAGCUAUCUAUUGAGAAUUCCAGGCAGUACAUAAUGAGGAGUGGUCAAAUAUGAUAUACUGCUAAUGUUUUUUAAAGCUGUCAUUCUUCAAAUAAUAGACUGAGCCCAACCCCUGGGGCUACUUAGCCCUAGAAAAAACCAGCCAAAGGAUAUUCCUUACAAGUAAAAAAAACAUUUACCACGGUUAACCAAUAAUUCUCAGCAGCACAUUAGAGAACAAAAGUUUCCUGUGGAGAACACACUGUACCCGCACAGUUCUAUCCAUUCCUAAAUAUAAGACUUAAAGGCAUCUUGUAUCUACAGAAAGCAGUGAAAUUACCACUGAAAGUGAGAGUAGGCUUACAAACCUCAGUUAAAAUUCUAGUCCUAUGUGUCACGGAUUAACUUUCUCUGUCGUUCUUACAUCAGUCAGAAACCUGAGGCCACAUGUGGAACUCCAUCUCCCAACAGUCCCAGCCAGUAUGAUUAAUGGGCUCUAAAUUAGGAUUAGGAUUCCUUUUUAAAAAUUUGUAAGUUGUGGGAAGCCCACCAUUCACUCCUUCUGUGAGGAGAGAAAUCAAUAGGACAUCAAAGAUCUACUGAUACUGCCAUAUAAUUAUGGUUAUUAUUACCUUUGUCUCAGUUGUUUCAUUACGGCGCCCUGUGGAUUCUAUCAGAUUUGUUCUCCGUGCCGCCACACAAUGCUUACAGUGCUCCUUCCAACAUCUGUUCAAAGGGAGGACAAUGCUUCUUGUUCUUCCUCACAAUGGGCAUCAGGAUGUGAGGAGCUCUGCAAUCCCUGUUCUCCCUCAAAAAAUAAUCAGAACCAAUGGGGACGCUUUUCAUAUGGCCAAAAGAGAGCAAUGUAUUGUACAGAACAUUUUGAGUAUUAAAACACUCUCCGAAGAGAAACCCAAACUGUUGUCAACAGGAGACAGUUUUGUUUUCUCUUUUAAACAGCCAAACGGGAGUCACUCCUGAGAGGAAGCUUCGUAAUCCUAGAGGGCUAUGUAAGAAAUUGCCUUUGUGCAUCUUUGAGCCCGGUUGCCUCAUCCUUGCUUCUGAUACCCUCACUUCUUUCCUCUGUUGGUUCCACUUUUGUAGGGGGCAAAAUGUUUGCAAAGACUACACCCCAAAUUUUCCACAUAUCCCCUAUGAUGCAAUCAGCGCUACCAACCCCUUGAGUUGAACAACAGGCCCUUUGUAUCCACAAUGAAAUGACAGACUUAAACUGGAAGGGAUUGGGAUGCCGGAGAGCGCCUUAAGAAUGUAGGUAAGAAUUAUGGGGCUGUGAGGAAAGGGCUUUGGCCCUGCAGAAACUGUUAGCAGUCAUGUGUCCCUUCUGCAAGGGUAUGGCAGACCCUCUCCAGGAAGGCAUCCUUGCAGAAUGGCUGAGAGAAUUUCUUUCCAGAUUAGUCUCAUUCAAUUUAAUUUUGUAGGUCAUGUCUCUCAAUUAGCACAUAGCCAUUUUAAUACUUGUACCCAUGUCUGCUUCUUUAUUCCACACAUACCGUGGCAAACAUCUGGUUCAGUUUAACAGUGUUUUUUUUGGGGGGGGGGUUGCCUUACAUAGCCCAGCUCACAGCCUUGGGAGGAUGCUUACAUUAUACAACCAUCUUUCCUGCAUUGACUUAAUGGGGUUCCUUGACUGUUUCUCUUCUCUUUUCAAAGACUCCACCUGGGACCAGUGUGCUGUAGCAAUGAUAAUAAUACCAAGAGGCUUAUAGUACUUGGUGAAUCAAAUGGGGGUUACAUAAGUUAAUGCUGGUGGCUGUAAAAGGAAAUCAUGGAAAUGCCCUCUAAACAGGAAAAUAGCAGCUAUCAUGCAAAGAUGGAUAUAGGGCUGCAAUCCAGUAGGUAAAGAAUAAGAAUAACGUCAGAAAUAACACUGAAAUGUUUCUCAGCAUUCUCCAAGGGAGAGCUUUAAAUAAAUGAGAAACAUUAAAUUUAAAGGCAUAGAUUAAAGGUAAAAGAUUUCCGAGAGAAUUCUGGCAUUUCCUCAUUUCCCCUUUGGCAAAGCUGCCUUGAGACAAGGACAAAUGAGGUCAUUUAGUUGCCACACAGUCUAUAUCAGAAAUAAGCCUAUUUAUAGUUGCAAAGCACAAGCCUAAUGAAACAUCAUUAUUGGAGCAUUUCAGAUGUACAAAACCACUAUCUAUGCUUAUAAUAUACAGCUGCAAAAAAACAAAGCUCUGUGCUAAUUGUCUGAUAAAUACAAUCCCUCCCAUGUGAUUUAAGUGGAAACUACAUUUGUCUAGCUAUAAAUUGUAACUGAGAACCUAAAGUAUCAUAAAAUGUGCAUUAAAAAUAUUAAAUCCUCUAUUUUCACCUCUUGUAAACUGGGAGUUCAUACUGUCCUCAUGCAGUUCAGAGUACUAGCAGCCAAAUAACCAUUUACUCAAUGUUUAAAGUUUUCCUCUUUCAAUAACAUAUUGGCACAACCAAUGGUAUCUAAUGGGCAAAAUAUUUUCUCUAAAUAAUGCCCCUCCACACCAAGAAGUGGGACUGUAUUCAACUAAAUCAUACCCAGGGUAGGCCCUUUGAAAUCAAUGGAUUUAAAGUCACAACUAACAAGCUUAUUGAUUUCAGUGGAUGUACUCUGAGUAUGGCUUAGCUGGAUAUGCCAUAUGUGGUACUGUAUUCUGGAAAAUGCAAAUGGAGUUUCUUUUCCAAUGCAUAAGAAAAAAUAGAAACAGUCACUCAAUGGAGCCUUUAUAGUUGGCCCAACAACCCAACAGAAGCUGAGGAACAUGAAAAAUGAUGGGGUGGAAACAUAUUUUAGUCAGAGAUUUAUUGUAUAUGUAGGCAUAGAUCUCAUAAAUAAAAUAAUAAAUGCACUCCUAGAGAUGCUGUGGAGUGAGUUGAACCUUGAAGAACUCAGGCUACAACUUUAACAAGGCAUUCUCAGGAAUGAUUAACAAACUGGUUCCAUGGCAAAAAAGAGAUGCUGUUUCUAGUAAAUAAGGACAGCUGGAACAUAUGACACACACAAAGACACACACACA
Molecule: non-coding RNA, 4387 nt
Organism: Podarcis lilfordi (Lilford's wall lizard)
Lineage: Eukaryota; Metazoa; Chordata; Lepidosauria; Squamata; Lacertidae
Source: the annotation of a GenBank genome assembly